This 76-nucleotide transfer RNA is filed under the name Alphaproteobacteria bacterium LSUCC0226. RNAcentral describes it as "tRNA-Val". It matches the Rfam family "tRNA". From Rfam's summary of the family: Transfer RNA (tRNA) molecules are approximately 80 nucleotides in length. Their secondary structure includes four short double-helical elements and three loops (D, anti-codon, and T loops). Further hydrogen bonds mediate the characteristic L-shaped molecular structure. tRNAs have two regions of fundamental functional importance: the anti-codon, which is responsible for specific mRNA codon recognition, and the 3' end, to which the tRNAs corresponding amino acid is attached (by aminoacyl-tRNA synthetases). tRNAs cope with the degeneracy of the genetic code in two manners: having more than one tRNA (with a specific anti-codon) for a particular amino acid; and 'wobble' base-pairing, i.e. permitting non-standard base-pairing at the 3rd anti-codon position. The record is from RNAcentral. RNAcentral also lists the same sequence under 17 other names. Lineage: Bacteria; Pseudomonadati; Pseudomonadota; Alphaproteobacteria.
GGGUGGUUAGCUCAGCUGGGAGAGCAACUCGUUUACACCGAGUAGGUCGGGGGUUCGAACCCCUCACCACCCACCA